CCUACGGUGGGCAGCAGUGGGGAAUAUUGCACAAUGGGGGAAACCCUGAUGCAGCAACGCCGCGUGAGUGAAGAAGGUUUUCGGAUCGUAAAGCUCUGUUAGCAGGGAAGAGCAAGGGCGGUACCUGCAGAGGAAGCCACGUCUAACUCCGUGCAAGAAGCUGCGGUAAUACGUAGGUGGAAAGCGUUGUUCGGAAUAACUGGGCGUAAAGGAUGCGUAGGCGGUUAAACAAGUUAUAUGUUAAAUAUAUAGGCUUAACCUGUAGAAAGCAUAUAAAACUGUUUAACUAGAGUGCAGGAGAGGUAAGUGGAAUUCCUAGUGUAGCGGGGAAAGGCGUAGAGAUUAGGAAGAACACCAGGGGCGAAGGCGACUUACUGGACUGUAACUGACGCUGAGGCAUGAGAGCAUGGGGAGCAAACAGGAUUAGAUACCCGAGUAGUC
RNAcentral lists this ribosomal RNA (441 nucleotides) under uncultured bacterium. RNAcentral describes it as "partial 16S ribosomal RNA". It matches the Rfam family "Bacterial small subunit ribosomal RNA", at positions 338 to 795 of the family's 1533-position model. The record is from RNAcentral.